GAUGAACGCUAGCGGCAGGCCUAACACAUGCAAGUCGAGGGAGGAGCUUUCGGGCUUCGACCGGCGUACGGGUGCGUAACGCGUAUACAAUCUGCCUUUCACAUAGGGAUAGCCCGAAGAAAUUUGGAUUAAUACCUAAUGGUAUAUAGGAGUGGCAUCACAUUUAUAUUAAAGCUGAGGCGGUGAAAGAUGAGUAUGCGUUCUAUUAGCUAGUUGGAGAGGUAACGGCUCCCCAAGGCGACGAUAGAUAGGGGUUCUGAGAGGGAUAUCCCCCACACUGGUACUGAGAUACGGACCAGACUCCUACGCGAGGGAGCAGUGAGGAAUAUUGGACAAUGGUCGGAAGACUGAUCCAGCCAUGCCGCGUGCAGGAAGACGGGCUUAUGGGUUGUAAACUGCUUUUGCAGGGGAAGAAUAAGGACUACGAGUAGUUUGAUGACGGUACUCUGCGAAUAAGCAUCGGCUAACUCCGUG
Molecule: ribosomal RNA, 474 nt
Filed under: uncultured bacterium
Lineage: Bacteria
Description: partial 16S ribosomal RNA
Rfam family: Bacterial small subunit ribosomal RNA
Source: RNAcentral